CACCGCGGUUAGACGUGUAGGCCCUAGUUGAUAAUAUAACGGCAUAAAGGGUGGUUAGGGGACAAAACAAAAUAAAGCCAAAUGGCCCUUCGGCCGUUAUACGCUUUCUAGGCGUCUGAGGCCCACCACACGAAAGUAGCUUUAAUUAAAUUUACCGACUCCACGAAAGCUAAGGAA
RNAcentral lists this ribosomal RNA (177 nucleotides) under Enteromius unitaeniatus. RNAcentral describes it as "partial 12S rRNA". Lineage: Eukaryota; Metazoa; Chordata; Actinopteri; Cypriniformes; Cyprinidae. The record is from RNAcentral.